Molecule: non-coding RNA, 2105 nt
Organism: Pelodiscus sinensis (Chinese soft-shelled turtle)
Lineage: Eukaryota; Metazoa; Chordata; Testudines; Trionychidae
Source: RefSeq, a predicted model, not a curated record
CUGGCACACCAAGCCUAACUGCACCUUAACUUUCUCCCCCAGGUCACCAUCCAAACCCUCUACAUCCCCUGUCCCAAGUCACAACUCCCUCCCACAUCCUGUACCCCACCUAUACCCUUCCUCAUCACCCCAAUCCUCUCCUGCACCCAUACCUCCUCCCUGACCCUGAAACUCUGUCCCCUGACCGUAUGUCUCAUAGACUUUAAGGUCAGAAGGGACCAUUAUGAUCAUCUAUCCUCUGCCCCUGGUCACAGCACCCUCCUUGAGCCAAACUCCCUCUCAGAUCCCAUACUGUCUCCUGCACUCCUGUGCCUUACCCUGUGCGCCCUUCUGCACCCAAUCUCCAUCCUAGACCUCAUACCCCCUCCACAGAAAAGUCUGGCCCUUGACCACUUUGAAAAAUCUUGGAGUGGCCUCUCCCCCACCAAAAAUCAUUGCCUGCCCCGUAUGUAAUAUCUGGACUCAAGCAUUUGCCCAAAAUGGCAGAGUUUAGCAGGUGUGUCACCAGGGACAGUCUGGGGAAAAUGGGGGUGUGGAAAGAAUUAAAGCUCCUUCUGAAAGGUCUCCAAUUGCUCUUCUCCCCACAACAGGCUGCAGAACACCCAUGUCUUGCUCCAGCUCAGUCCACAGCCAGCAGAGCCAGGGAAUGGAAAUGGCUGUAGCGGAGUCGGUGACCUUCGAGGAGGUGGCUGUCCAUUUCACUGACGAGGAAUGGGCUCUGCUGGACCUGGGUCAGAGAACCCUCUACUGGGAUGUGAUGCAGGAGAAUUAUGAGGCUGUGAGCUGGCUGGUGAUAUGUGGCCACCGUUGCCAGAGUAAAGCCAACAUUUUGGGCACGCUGCUGGCAUCCUGGGCAAGUGGAGAGGAGAUGUGGCUACGUGGCUCCACUGUCUGAUUUAAUGCAUCAGAGAGAGGUCAGUCCACACUCAUCUUCCCUUUUUUUGUUGUUGAAGCAGCUCUGAGGCUGGGGUGAGGAGCUGGUGUUACUUACCACCUGAUUGUUGGUGUUAUUCCUGGCAUAUUUCAGACUUUGUAACUGUGUGAUGUGGAAGGAGGAAUGUGGCGCCCCCACUAUUUUCCACUGUUAGAAUUAUACAGUAAACAAGAAUUCUAUGCCGUUCAAGGCCAACAGGUCUGUCACCUCCUAUCAGCAGGGACAGAGGAAGCAUUUGUGUUUGGCCAAGGUGCUUUUCAGUUGACAGCUGGUGGACGUGCCAGGAAAUGCUCAAAAGCCUGGGCUAAGAUGUAGUUUGAUUGGAGGCAGACAGAUCCAGAGCAGAGAGGUGCAGAGGGCUGAGGGAUUCUACAUUAACAGAACUUAAUGCAGGAUCUGACUUUUUUUUUAAUAUUAGUGUUAAUAAUCUGUGCGCUUCCUCGUGUUCUGAGAAGGUUAUUGAGUUCUUUUAGAGGAUGCAGAUGAGGCUGCAGUGAGGCCUUAACAAAUGCAGGAUCAGGCUCUAAAUGACCAUCAAGUCAACACACUGAACAAACACUUGGAUCUUUCUGUUGCAGUUACCUUCUGGGUGACACAGAGCAAUGCCAGUUGAAAAGGAAUAGCUCUGUGGUGGUGUUGUGGCUGCUGUUGCUUUCAGAGGUUGCUUUCAUGCUGGUUACUCUCUCUCAGGUUUUGUCUACAUGUACAAGCUUAGAUCGGUGCUAUGGCAGCACUUAAACGUGGCAGUGUGGGCAUGACCAGAGCGCUGGGAAAGAGCUCUCGCUGGGCUGUAGCCAAACCACCUUCAGCAAGGCAGUAGCUCACAGGCCUGGGAGAACAUUUACACUGAUGCUUCACAGCGCUGUUACUUGCUGUGCCCAUAUAUUCCAUGCUGAGUAGUGACGCUGAGCACCAGAUCCAAAGGGCCUGGAGGUCCCAUUUCUCCAGCAGCAGAGUGCGCAUAGCUGCCUCUGUGACAGGAAGAGCUGUAUAAUCUCUGCCAAGAUCAUAGCAAAGCCUGGGUCAAGGAAAUCCCCGUGACUGCAGAUUGGUUAGUGGGCAUCACACAGAGCCCUUCUGAGAGCUUGGCCAGAGUGAGAGGAAGCUCUCGAUGGUCUCAGACACCCAUGCUGACAACCAGGCCAGCACCCCGUCAGGCCGCUCAGAGAUU